GGGGCGCCCGGGCAACAGUGAGGGUGGGUCCGCCCAUGAGCUUUUUGGUUUUACAAAGGUACUCCGUACUAGCACAAACCAGAAUGGAAAUUCACCCAGCUCCAUUAAGGGGAGGGAGUGAGAGCUAGAAGAAGACAUGGAUGGUUGGUUCAUCGCGCGCAUAAACUAGCUUAUUAGGUACUUGUUCAAUCAGAUGAUCUGAGAGAGUCUCUACAUCCGCGUCCAUGCGCCACUGCCAGCCAGCCUCCUACUAGCUAGGCAUCCACCCAACAACAAACACCUUCGCAACAAGGCAAGGAGAUCGAUGAUGUACGCCCACUCGCCGCCGGUCUUCGACCUCUCCUUCUCCGCUGCUCCUACACCACCGUCACCGCUUCCUCCUCUUCCUCUUCCUCUUCUACAUGAAGGUGAAGCCGACGACGCCAUCUACAACCACCUCGGAAACAAGGGGCAGCCAUCCUUGAUACCAGAGUAUGACCUUGGAGGAGAAGGGGAUCUGUUCAAGGCUCCAGAGCCCAUAAUUGAAGAACCACUGCUUACCCUUGACUCGAUCACGGCUGCCAUCUCGAUAAUGUCCUGCUAUGAGAAUACAAUGGAUGACACCAUCCAGGUUUCAGACAUGGGUUUGAGUGAAGUGAUGUACGAGUGCAAGAAGGAGGUCAUGGAGAAGUCGGUGAUCGAAGAGAUGAUAUCCGAACUUCUAGAAGCCAUCCCUAUGUUACAAGUUGAGAAGGUCCCCGGAGAACUCAGGGCAUCACCUUUAACCGGUGAAUGCUCACUCCAGAAGAGUGUUAGCUCUGAAUGCCUCAACUCGGCCGAUUGGAUGAAUGGGUCGGUGAGGCCAAAUUUCUUGGAUUUCCAAGGGCUCGACUUCAAGGCGGCCUUCGGGCUAAGGAAGAAAUGGAAUCUUGGUGCCAAUACCCCUGGGCUUGUAACCAUCAGUGACCUAAAAACUGAGGAAAGGAAGCAGAAGCUCUCCAGGUACAGGAUGAAGAAGUUCAAGAGAAACUUUGGCAGAAAGAUCAAGUAUGCUUGCAGGAAGGCUAUGGCAGACAGCCAGCCAAGAACGCGAGGGAGGUUCGCCAAGAUGCACCAUGGCGACAUGCUCAAGCCGAGGAAGUAAAAUCAUGGGAAGACCGCCGAGGUUGUGGCGAAGCUGAUGAGAAAGACAAGGUUAUUGUAAGGAAUUAUGCUACUACUGAGCUACCAGUAAAGCUUGUCGUCGUCUAGAAUCUUCUAGAUGAACACAGGGAAAUAGAAAUGUCACCCGAAGGAGCGGACUGUUGGAGCGACUAAAAUUAAUUCCGAUGGGUGGCGCAGCGUUGCACAGCAACCAUCAUCCUAGAAGAUGGUGCACCUCACCUAGAAGCUUGUAGAUGCCGACGAGCUUGCUGGAAGCUCAGCGGCAGCUCAAAUUCCUUCCAUGCAGCCCUUUCUUCCUUCCUCUGCUGGCAGAAUUGGUAACAUCUGAAAUCACAUCACUAGCUAGUGUGCCUUGCAUAGCUUUAUUUAAAGGCCUUUCUCUUGAGCAAAUCACUACACUGUGCUCCAUCUACAUCUACAUCUACAAUAAGUUUUCUCCAAUGCAUUUUAGGUUUGUUUUCUGUACUUAUUGUCUCUUUUGUCAACAGUUGUGCUCAUUGGAGACACAAAAGGUCAGUGCUUGUCACAAUAAUUCCAUAUCCAUGUGAGAACCAACCUGAGGUUGGGUGGUUAGGAGGAUGGUUGUAUCCCCAGCCCACCAGAGUUCAAACCCCAGGUUUGACAUCUGUGUGUCUCAUAAAGGCGGAAUAUUCAUUCAGUGGGAGGCGACGUUCCCGUCGACAGCGAGGCGCCUGUGGUGACUUCGUCAAUUUCAAGAUCCAAUCCGCCGGCUCAGUCUUCCGAAGGUGCUCAUAGGGGUAGGGUGUGCGUGUGUGCGUUCAUAGGGGUGAGUGUAUGCGCGUGUAUGUGAGCGUCUGCGUUUGUACU
RNA transcript from Lolium perenne, 1971 nucleotides. RefSeq lists it as uncharacterized. Lineage: Eukaryota; Viridiplantae; Streptophyta; Magnoliopsida; Poales; Poaceae. The record is from RefSeq and is a predicted model, not a curated record.